UACAGAGGGUGCGAGCGUUAAUCGGAAUUACUGGGCGUAAAGGGCGCGUAGGCGGUUCUAUAAGUUGGAUGUGAAAUCCCUGGGCUUAACCUAGGAACUGCAUCCAAGACUGUAAGACUAGAGUGCUGUAGAGGGUAGUGGAAUUUCCGGUGUAGCGGUGAAAUGCGUAGAUAUCGGAAGGAACACCAGUGGCGAAGGCGGCUACCUGGACAGACACUGACGCUGAGGCGCGAGAGCGUGGGGAGCAAACAGG
RNAcentral lists this ribosomal RNA (253 nucleotides) under uncultured bacterium. Its description in RNAcentral is "partial 16S ribosomal RNA". It matches the Rfam family "Bacterial small subunit ribosomal RNA", at positions 524 to 776 of the family's 1533-position model. The record is from RNAcentral.